ACCUGGGUGGCUCAGUCAGUUGAGCGUCUGACUUUGACUCAGGUCAUGAUCUCGCGGUUCGUGGGUUCCAGCCCCACGUCGGGCU
This 85-nucleotide transfer RNA is filed under the name Felis catus (domestic cat). It matches the Rfam family "tRNA". Rfam says of the family: Transfer RNA (tRNA) molecules are approximately 80 nucleotides in length. Their secondary structure includes four short double-helical elements and three loops (D, anti-codon, and T loops). Lineage: Eukaryota; Metazoa; Chordata; Mammalia; Carnivora; Felidae. RNAcentral also lists the same sequence under 1 other name. The record is from Rfam by way of RNAcentral.